This 119-nucleotide ribosomal RNA is filed under the name Pteropus alecto (black flying fox). The record is from RNAcentral. Lineage: Eukaryota; Metazoa; Chordata; Mammalia; Chiroptera; Pteropodidae.
GUCUACGGCCAUGCUACCCUGAACAAGCCCGAUCUCAUCUGAUCCUGGAAGCUAACCAGGGUCGAGUCUGAUUAAUACUUGGAUGGGAGACCACCUAGGAAGACCAGGUGCUAUAGGCG